AGUGAACGCUGGCAGUAGGCCUAACACAUGCAAGUCGAACGGCAGCACAGUAAGAGCUUGCUCUUACGGGUGGCGAGUGGCGGACGGGUGAGGAAUACAUCGGAAUCUACUUUUUCGUGGGGGAUAACGUAGGGAAACUUACGCUAAUACCGCAUACGACCUACGGGUGAAAGCAGGGGAUCUUCGGACCUUGCGCGAUUGAAUGAGCCGAUGUCGGAUUAGCUAGUUGGCGGGGUAAAGGCCCACCAAGGCGACGAUCCGUAGCUGGUCUGAGAGGAUGAUCAGCCACACUGGAACUGAGACACGGUCCAGACUCCUACGGGAGGCAGCAGUGGGGAAUAUUGGACAAUGGGCGCAAGCCUGAUCCAGCCAUACCGCGUGGGUGAAGAAGGCCUUCGGGUUGUAAAGCUCUUUUGUUGGGAAAGAAAAGCAGCAGGUUAAUACCCCGCUGUUCUGACGGUACCCAAAGAAUAAGCACCGGCUAACUUCGUG
RNAcentral lists this ribosomal RNA (492 nucleotides) under uncultured bacterium. RNAcentral's name for it is "partial 16S ribosomal RNA". It matches the Rfam family "Bacterial small subunit ribosomal RNA", at positions 29 to 507 of the family's 1533-position model. The record is from RNAcentral.